AGUCAUAUGCUUGUCUCAAAGAUUAAGCCAUGCAUGUCUAAGUAUAAAUGGAUUAUACAGUGAAACUGCGAAUGGCUCAUUAAAUCAGUUAUAGUUUAUUUGAUAAUAUCUCUUACUUGGAUAACCGUAAUAAUUUUAGAGCUAAUACAUGCGUAAAAGUGCGACUUUACGGAAGCACUGUAUUUAUUAGAUACAAAACCAUCCAGCUUCGGCUGUUACCUUGGUGAUUCAUAAUAACUUAACGAAUCGUAUGACUUUAUGUCGACGAUGAUUCAUUCAAAUUUCUGCCCUAUCAACUUUCGAUGGUAAGGUAUUGGCUUACCAUGGUUACAACGGGUGA
Molecule: ribosomal RNA, 340 nt
Filed under: uncultured eukaryote
Lineage: Eukaryota
Description: SSU rRNA
Rfam family: Eukaryotic small subunit ribosomal RNA
Source: RNAcentral